AUUGAACGCUGGCGGCAGGCUUAACACAUGCAAGUCGAGCGGGGGAAGGUAGCUUGCUACCGGACCUAGCGGCGGACGGGUGAGUAAUGCUUAGGAAUCUGCCUAUUAGUGGGGGACAACAUCUCGAAAGGGAUGCUAAUACCGCAUACGUCCUACGGGAGAAAGCAGGGGAUCUUCGGACCUUGCGCUAAUAGAUGAGCCUAAGUCGGAUUAGCUAGUUGGUGGGGUAAAGGGCUACCAAGGCGACGAUCUGUAGCGGGUCUGAGAGGAUGAUCCGCCACACUGGGACGGAGACACGGCCCAGACUCCUACGGGAGGCAGCAGUGGGGAAUAUUGGACAAUGGGGGGAACCCUGAUCCAGCCAUGCCGCGUGUGUGAAGAAGGCCUUAUGGUUGUAAAGCACUUUAAGCGAGGAGGAGGCUACUUUAGUUAAUACCUAGAGAUAGUGGACGUUACUCGCAGAAUAAGCACCGGCUAACUCUGUGCCAGCCGCCGCAGUAA
This 501-nucleotide ribosomal RNA is filed under the name uncultured bacterium. Its description in RNAcentral is "partial 16S ribosomal RNA". It matches the Rfam family "Bacterial small subunit ribosomal RNA", at positions 30 to 523 of the family's 1533-position model. The record is from RNAcentral.